Pelodiscus sinensis (Chinese soft-shelled turtle) is the source of this 974-nucleotide non-coding RNA. Lineage: Eukaryota; Metazoa; Chordata; Testudines; Trionychidae. The record is from RefSeq and is a predicted model, not a curated record.
AAAAAAGCCUUUCAAAAGUUAGUUGGUUCUCAGGGACAAUUCUUGGUGCCUGUAGUAUUUGUCACCAAUGCAGGGAAUUGCCUUCGCCAGAAGAAAGCUGAUCAGUUGUCUCAUAUUUUGGGAGUGUCGAUUUCACAAGACCAAGUAGUGAUGUCUCAUAGUCCUUUACGGAUGUUCAAACGUUACCAUGACAAAUGUGUUCUAGUGUCUGGGCAAGGACCACUUCUUGAUAUUGCCAAAUAUCUGGGUUUUUGUCAACCUAUUACCAUUGAUAUAUUGCGUGAAACACACCCUUUGCUGGAUAUGGUUGACCAUGACAGACGACCUAAAGUUUUGGUGAGUGAAUGAUUUAUGUUGAAAUCUUUCUGUCUCUGUUUAUUGGCUGACAAUUCUACAUUUGGAGAUUUCUUCUUCGUAUAAAAUCAUAAACUUGACUUUUUUUAGUUUAUUCCAUUUUGUAAUAUGCUUUUGACUUUGAGGCCUACCUAUGUACUUGUUUCUCUGCAACACUUUGAAGAGCUAUUCAGUAUACUUGUCUAACAAGUCAGUUUGGUCAGUAUCUUUAUUGACAUUUACAUUGACUCUCCAGUAUAAAGUCUGAGGCAUUUUUUUAAUUGGUUGACUUGAAAAAAAAAUGUUGCAUUACAGUCUUUUAUGUAGCUAACAUUGAGGAAAACAGGCAAAACUCUGGAUUUAAUGGAGUUGCCUGAUAAAUCUGCUACUUUGGAAAAUCUACGUGUUUUCUAAGAGAGAUGGAGAGGUAACCUUCCCCCCCCCACCCCGCUUCCCUAUAAGAAUGUGACAACAAUGGUAAGUUACUACUGCAAGCUGUUGCCUUGUUACUCAAUUCACUAUCUUUCAUAAGCUCUCAGAAGAAAUCUCCUUUUAAAAAUCAUCAUAAUCUUUAUAGUUUCUCAAACUUGAAUCAUAAAACCAUAGAGCUAGAAGAAACCUCAGAAGGUCAAGUCCAGCCC